CCGGAACAUUCGGCAUCCAAAGAACAGGAACCCUUUGGGCUGAGAACAAAACAAGCUGAUGGCCAAACUUGGCACACAGAUCCAGCAUGGCCAACUGUGCAUACAGGGGAAGAUUUUCAGCAACAGAAGAAGAACUAGCUAGACUCAAGGAAAUUCUAAGAAAACUGGAGGCCACAGAGUGAAACAGUCUCCCCUGGAUGCUUUUUGGAAGAAGCCUUCAAGGGGUCUCCAGAUGGCCUAAAAUGUUAUCCCUUAAUUCUGUAAGGCUGAAAACAAAAAUGACUGGGAGAAGAAUUG
Anolis carolinensis (green anole) is the source of this 297-nucleotide long non-coding RNA. RefSeq lists it as uncharacterized. The transcript is spliced from 2 exons. The record is from RefSeq and is a predicted model, not a curated record. Lineage: Eukaryota; Metazoa; Chordata; Lepidosauria; Squamata; Anolidae.